UGGCUCAGAUUGAACGCUGGCGGUAGGCUUAACACAUGCAAGUCGUGCGAGAAAGUAUCUUCGGAUAUGAGUAGAGCGGCGGACGGGUGAGUAACGCGUAGGAAUCUACCUAGUAGAAGGGGAUAGCCCGAGGAAACUCGGAUUAAUACCGUAUACCUCCUUCGGGAGAAAGAAGGCCUCUCUUUGAAGCUUUCGCUACUAGAUGAGCCUGCGUAAGAUUAGCUUGUUGGUGAGGUAAAGGCUCACCAAGGCUACGAUCUUUAGCGGGUCUGAGAGGACGAUCCGCCACAUUGGGACUGAGACACGGCCCAGACUCCUACGGGAGGCAGCAGUGGGGAAUAUUGGACAAUGGGCGCAAGCCUGAUCCAGCCAUACCGCGUGUGUGAAGAAGGCCCUAGGGUUGUAAAGCACUUUAAGUUGGGAAGAAAAGUUAUUGGUUAAUACCCAAUGACCGUGACAUUACCAUCAGAAUAAGGACCGGCUAAUUCCGUGCCAGCAGCCGCGGUAAUACGGAAGGUCCAAGCGUUAAUCGGAAUUACUGGGCGUAAAGCGCGCGUAGGUGGUUUAUUAAGUUGGGUGUGAAAUCCCCGGGCUCAACCUGGGAACUGCAUCCAAAACUGAUUCACUAGAGUACGAUAGAGGGAGGUAGAAUUCACAGUGUAGCGGUGGAAUGCGUAGAUAUUGUGAAGAAUACCAAUGGCGAAGGCAGCCUCCUGGAUCUGUACUGACACUGAGGUGCGAAAGCGUGGGUAGCGAACAGGAUUAGAUACCCUGGUAGUCCACGCCGUAAACGAUGUCAACUAUCUGUUGGAAAGCAUUGCUUUUCAGUGGAGCAGCUAACGUAAUAAGUUGACCGCCUGGGGAGUACGGCCGCAAGGCUAAAACUCAAAUGAAUUGACGGGGACCCGCACAAGCGGUGGAGCAUGUGGUUUAAUUCGAUGCAACGCGAAAAACCUUACCUAUGCUUGACAUACUUGGAAUACUUUGUAAUGAAGUAGUGCCUUCGGGAGCCAAGAUACAGGUGCUGCAUGGCUGUCGUCAGCUCGUGUCGUGAGAUGUUGGGUUAAGUCCCGCAACGAGCGCAACCCUCA
Molecule: ribosomal RNA, 1091 nt
Filed under: uncultured bacterium
Lineage: Bacteria
Description: bacterial SSU rRNA
Rfam family: Bacterial small subunit ribosomal RNA
Source: RNAcentral